Non-coding RNA from Podarcis lilfordi (Lilford's wall lizard), 68 nucleotides. The record is from the annotation of a GenBank genome assembly. NCBI's taxonomy places the organism in Eukaryota, Metazoa, Chordata, Lepidosauria, Squamata, Lacertidae.
GCUGUAGCUCAGUGGUAGAACAUAGGCUUGGCAUGUAGAAGGUCCCAAGUUCAAUCCUUGGCAUUGCA